GGGGGUUUCUUUUUUCUUCAGACAAUCUCUCUUUUCAUAAUUCGUUUAUUUUCUGAAUUUUACAGAAGGUAACAAAAAAUCUUGAAAAAGAGAGGAAAAAAAUUGGAAGAAGCCAAAGUUUCAUUGGCCAUUUUUAGAGAAGGGGUUUGAAGAAAUUAUCUUGGUAGUGCUCAUGGUGCCUGAUAUUUAUUACCCUUCAAAGAAAAGCGACGAUUUUUGUGAAGACGUUUGUGGCGAGCAGUCUACCCCUGGAAUAGUAAGCAUGUCAAGAUUAAGGUGUAUGCUUCGAGGAUU
This 294-nucleotide unclassified non-coding RNA is filed under the name Hevea brasiliensis (rubber tree). Lineage: Eukaryota; Viridiplantae; Streptophyta; Magnoliopsida; Malpighiales; Euphorbiaceae. The record is from RNAcentral.